This 405-nucleotide ribosomal RNA is filed under the name uncultured bacterium. RNAcentral describes it as "partial 16S ribosomal RNA". It matches the Rfam family "Bacterial small subunit ribosomal RNA", at positions 30 to 526 of the family's 1533-position model. The record is from RNAcentral.
AUUGAACGCUGGCGGCAGGCGUAACACAUGCAAGUCGAACGAGUGGCGGACGGGUGAGUAAUGCUUGGGAAUCUAGCUUAUGGAGGGGGAUAACUACGGGAAACUGUAGCUAAUACCGCGUACCAUAGGAUGAGCCCAAGUGGGAUUAGGUAGUUGGUGAGGUAAAGGCUCACCAAGCAGACGAUCUCUAGCUGGUAUGAUAGGAUGACCAGCCACACUGGGACUGAGAGACGUACCAGACUCCUACGGGAGGCAGGAGUGGGGAAUAUUGCGCAAUGGGGGCAACCUGACGCAGCCAUGCCGCGUGAAUGAAGAAGGCCUUCGGGUUGUAAAGUUCUUUCGGUAGCGAGGCGUUAACUACAGAAGAGGCACCUCCUAACUCCGUGCCAGCCGCCGCGGUUAUAC